Molecule: unclassified non-coding RNA, 337 nt
Filed under: soil metagenome
Description: partial contains 5.8S ribosomal RNA, internal transcribed spacer 2, and large subunit ribosomal RNA
Rfam family: 5.8S ribosomal RNA (bases 1-120)
Source: RNAcentral
GAUGAAGAACGUAGCGAAAUGCGAUAAGUAGUGUGAAUUGCAGAAUUCAGUGAAUCAUCGAAUCUUUGAACGCACAUUGCGCCCUUUGGUAUUCCUUAGGGCAUGCCUGUUCGAGCGUCAUUUACAAAUUCAAGCUCAGCUUGGUGAUGGGUGUCUGUCCCGCCUUUGCGUGUGGACUCGCCUCAAAUGCAGUUGGCAGCUUGUUCCUCGGCUCUAAACGCAGCAGAUUUGCGUCAAGCGUCGUGCGGACGGGCUCUCCAGUAAGCAAACCCCCACAAAUUGACCUCGGAUCAGGUAGGGAUACCCGCUGAACUUAAGCAUAUCAAUAAGCGGAGGA